UACAGAGGGUGCGAGCGUUAAUCGGAAUUACUGGGCGUAAAGGGCGCGUAGGCGGAUGAUUAAGUGAGAUGUGAAAUCCCUGGGCUUAACCUAGGAACUGCAUCUUAUACUGGUGAUCUAGAGUACUGUUGAGGGUAGUGGAAUUUCCGGUGUAGCGGUGAAAUGCGUAGAGAUCGGAAGGAACACCAGUGGCGAAAGCGGCGCACUGGACCACAACUGACGCUGAGGCGCGAAAGCUAGGGGAGCAAACAGG
RNAcentral lists this ribosomal RNA (253 nucleotides) under uncultured bacterium. RNAcentral describes it as "partial 16S ribosomal RNA". It matches the Rfam family "Bacterial small subunit ribosomal RNA", at positions 524 to 776 of the family's 1533-position model. The record is from RNAcentral.